AAAAAAAUUAGUAUUUUUAUUCAGCAGCACAUGCAUUGCAUCCCAAUCAAAGUUUUCUUUGCGAAACUGGAAGGAACAAACCAGGUUCCGGUCUCGAGAAACUCCCCCACAUCUCGUGCGGAGACGUGCAUCGUUUACCAAAAAUCGUUUGGGGCACCGGACGCACCAUGCUUCGUAUGGGCAAACGCAAAUCACACUUCGCCGGCCACAUGGGUUUUUGUUUUGAUUUUCUCGGUAGUCUUAUUUGGUUGAAUUUGGAUACUUUUCUCUCCGUUUGGAAAUGUGCAUUUGUUGCAAGUGAUGAAUUGGUUGGAUGGUUACGAUCUUUCUUUUUAAUUUAUGAAAUUUUGAGUUCAAAUUCUUUUUUCUUAACGUAAAUUAGUUGCAAUUGAUCCUAGUCAAACAAUUAAUAACUUUUUUGAUCUCGUAAUUAUUCUCUUCCUAAUGUAGGAAGAUAUGAACUUUUGAGUCUCCCCUUUCUUGAUUAGAAAAAAAUACGUGAUCAUAGCCUAAAAUCAAGUUAUUCCAAGGGAAAGAAUUUCAUUACACUCGGUGCACCAUUUUUUUAUUUAGUGUUCAUCUAGAGGAUUUAAUUUACGACUAUCUUAUAACUUCGUGAUAAAAAAAAAAUACUAUUAAAAUAAGGGCAUGUUUUAAUUAACAAAAAUGUGAAAAUAAAAGAAUUAGAAAACUUAGACAUAGGAUCAAUUAGCCACUUGUUGAGUUGAGUCAUGAUUUUUAGGUAUUUGUACGAAUUUUGAAGAAAAACAUACACUUUUUCGAUUCCAUAUGUGUACAAAUAUAAGUGAAAGUUAAGGAGUGAAAUGAUUUUCAUA
This 836-nucleotide long non-coding RNA is filed under the name Malus domestica (apple). RNAcentral describes it as "long non-coding RNA (MDOM_LNC002702)". The record is from RNAcentral. Lineage: Eukaryota; Viridiplantae; Streptophyta; Magnoliopsida; Rosales; Rosaceae.